CAUAUGCUGCGGGAGUGGCCCAAGAAAUAGCAAAAAAGACAAAAAAAAAUAAUAAUAAUAAAUAAAUAAAACAUCUUAUAUAUACUGAUUGUCAUUUAUUUAUUUAAUCCUUUUUUGGGUUGCACAUAUGGCAUAUGGAGGUUCCUAGGCUAAGGGUCGAAUCAGAGCUGUAGAUGCCAGCCUACACUAUAGCCACAGCAGUGCUGGAUCAAAGCUGCAUCUGUGACCUGCACCAGAGCUCAUGGCAAUACUGUAUCCUCAACCCACUGAAUGAGGCCAGGGAUUGAACCUACAUCCUCAUGGAUACCAGUCAGGUUCAUUAACCACUAAGCCAUGAUGCGAACUCCUGAUAAUUGUUUUUUAAUCUCUUGGUUUUCAAUUAUUUAAUUCUGCUUCCUAUAAAUCUGCUCAUUUUUGAUAGAAUGUUGAAUACUGCGUAUGCAAAAUUAUAAAGAAAAUUUGACGUUUGCAUGUGGUUAUUUUCAGUCAGAGAAAUAUAUUUUUUUAAAUUUCUGGCAGGCAGUAGAGUAAGGACAGAUCAAUUUAAUUAUCCUGGAAUAGAAGUGACUCAAAGCUGGUUUUCUGCCUUUAGGAGAGGAUUUGUUUGGGUUUGCCAUUAGCCCACUUGAAGCUGAAGUAUUUACCAGAGCCCAUCUUCUUUGGCAGGUCCUGAACUAAAUGCUUCUCUCCUCUGUCCACUCAAUUGGCAAAAGCUCUCUUCAGCUUCCUAGAAUUUUGGCUAAAGUGUAAAAAUCAGCCUAUGCUUAGGAAUGUGCCAAGUAUUAGGCUCCCCUCUCUGUUUUCCUUUUUCUUUCUGUGACUUUGAUGCCUCAAGUUCUGGCUGCUCUGGGAGACAUCAAUCCUCAUUUUUACUUUUCUAGUCCCAAGAGACUGCCCAAAGCUCUGAUCAGUUUCUCAGCACUUUGAUCUUCUGCACAAAUCAGUAAGGAAAACAUGGCACAGGAAUUUGGUCUCUGCCCAGUAUAGUCCCCUUCUCUGAAGGAUCUUGAUUCAAAUGCUGGCUACUAACAUAGUUCUGUAAUAUUUUAAAGUGGAUUUAAGCAUUUUUUAAAAAUUAGCUUUCACAGUUGCUCUUCGUGUUUGUUCUCCUAUAAGAUAGUUUUCCCUUAUUAUAAUUAUUAUAUUAGGAUAUUAAUCAAAUCUUUUAUAAAGGGAAUAUUGAACAGUAUAAAUUAUUAAUUUUGUGUGUGUGUGUGUGGUUGCACCCACAGCAUAUGGAAGUUCCCAGGCCAGGCACUGAAUCAGCCACAGCUGUGGCAACACUGGAUCCUUUAAUCCACUGUGCUGGGCUAGGGAUGGAAUCUAUGCCUCCAGAGCAACCUGAGCUGCUGCAGUCAGGUUGUUAACCUACUGCACCAUAGAAGAAACUCCUAUAAAAAUUUUUAAAUUAAUUGUGAGUUAAUACAUUUCAGUUCUUAGCACAACAGCAAUUUAGAAUAUGAUAACGAGUAUUUAAAAUGAAAAUACUAAAAUUAAGAUAUUUUGGUUCUAUCUUCUGAAAGAAGAUCAUCUGUCCCACCAUGCAGAGAUAUAGAUAUCUAUCUUCUUUGAUAAAUGAUGAAGUUCACAAUAAUAGCAGAAAACAAAUAUCUGAAACUGCUCUGAUUUUUGCCUAAUGCUUACAGGAAUCAGAAAGUUACUUUAUCAGCCCUUUCACCUGUCUCCUCUCUCUCACUCAUCUCUCCCUGCCUGUCUCUCUGUAUAUACACAUACACACACGUACAAACACCCAUAUACAACAGUAGCAUAUUUGUGUAUAUACCAACCACACACACACACAUAUACAUGCAUAUAUACAAACAAGAAGCACAGAAAGGAUAACAAAGCAGUUGCUUGCAAGAAGCUUUUUUUUCAUCUGACUAAAUAAAGAACAUUUUUGUAAUGACUCCUUAAACCAAUAUUGCCCGUUCUUUUUCUGCUUAAUUUGAGGAAUUUUCUUUGAGUUCCCAGUGCAGGUUUUAUACUUUGCGUUUUGAUAUUGUAUAUUGCUUUUACUUGUAUCAUCAAGUAAAUACACUAAUUUCAUAUUAUUUAAUUGGUUUCAUUGUUAACUCUAUUACUAUGACCCAAAACAUUCUAUAAGCUUAAGGAAGCCAAAAAAUAAAAAUGAAAUUCUGAGUAUAUAUUUGGAAAUAUAUAAAUUUUCAAAUAUUUGAGCUUUAGGAAACAAAGAUACCAAAAUAGUUUUAGGUGUUUAAAUAGUUUCACCUGCAAAUCUGAUUGGUAGGGAUGGAGUAGACACAGGUAUUUUUAGAAGUCCCAAUAAAGGGACACAGAUAACAAGGGAAACGUAGGGGACUUUGAGAGACGGCUGUAAGUAAAUAAAUUGCUCAAAAAAGCCAUCAGCACAAGGCAGGUUUGCAUCAAUAGUGGGGCCUUGAGAAUCGCCUCAGAUCGUUGGGUAGGGAUGAGAUGAGGGCUGCAUUCAUAUUCAGACCAAGGGCAAGAGUUUGAGGACCACCCUUCUGCGGAGUUGAAUACACACCUCACAGGAUACUAAGGAGAAGCUACUACUCCCAGAAAGGAAGAAGAGGGCCUUUCCAGCCCCCACUCUCCUUGGAGGAUAACACUGGAGCCCACUGGAUCCUCGGGGCAGAGCUUCUGUGCCUGCAGGCUUGCAUCUCUCACAAGCGUCCUAUCUCAAUAAAUCUAUUUCUUGCCUAUCACUUUGCCUCUCGCUGAAUUCCUUCUGUGUGGAGACAUGAAGAACCUGAACCUCAGUGAGUCCAGACACAGGGUGAGUGAUUCUAAUUUAGAACCAUGGGUUUAAGUCCCAAUCUGGGUUUACGCCGGGUUCAAGUCCCGGCAUGUGGAUUCAAGUCCCAAUCUGUGUCCUGACUAGGUUCAGGCCAUCAGUACUGUCAGUUUCAAGAUCAUGUGUCUUUAUUGAAGACUACCAAUUCUCUUAUUAGGCAAGUGAUCUAACAGUUUCUGAAAAACUAACUGGGUUCUGUCCAUCUAGUUGUUUCUAAUGAUUUCAAUCCAUGAAUAUUGGUUGCUUUUUAACAUGAUGACUCAAGGUGCCCAGACUUUAGACUCUGUACAUAUUUAUGUUUAGUAAAAAGCAAAAUAAUAAAAUGAUGAUUUGAAUAAACUGUCCAAUCAAAACAAUAAAGUAGUUUCAAUGGCUUUUGUUAAUACAAACUGCUGUUUAAAAUAAGGAAGUUGUGGGGUUCCCGUUGUGGCUCAGUGGAAACAAAUCAAACUAGGAACCACUGCAGGUUCGAGCCCUGGUCUUGCUCAGCGGGUUAAGGAUCUGGUGUUGCCAUGAGCUGUGGUGUAGGUUGCAGAUGUGGCUCAAAUCCUGCAUGGCUGUGUCUGUGGUAUAGACUGGCUGCUGCAGCUCCGAUUUGAUUCCUAGCAUGGGAACCUCUAUAUGCUGAGAGUGCUGCCCUAAAAAGCAAAAAUAAAAUAAAAUAAGGAAGUUGCUGGGGGUUCCCAUUGUGGCUCAGCAGGUUAUAAACCCGACUAAGAUCCAUGAGGAUGCAGGUUCGAUCCCUGGCCUCAUUCAGUGGGGUAAAGAUCCAGUGUUGCCCUGAGCUGUGGCGUAGGUUGCAGACGCAUCUUGGAUCCUGCAUUGCUGUGUCUGUGGCACAGGUUGGCAGCUGCAGUUCUACAUUCGACCCCUAGCCUAGGAACCUCCAUAUACCACAGGAGUGGCCCUGAAAAGAAAAAAGAAAAAAAAAAAAAACAGGAAAAGGAAAUUGUCAAUCAUGAAUGGUGUCAUCAGAAUGCUAGCAUCAUUCAAACAUUUGGAAACUGAUAUAACUUGAAAUACAUCUAUUACAUUGACAAAUGUGUUUAAUUCAGUUAACAUGUUUUGGAACCUAAAAAGUGAGACCAUGUUUUGUGGGUUAUUUCCUAAAUUUUAAAGUUGUGAGUUUUACCUUUCACCAGUUAUAAUAAUAAUCUUUUUUUUUUUGGUAAUUUAAAGUUGUAUAUGACAUGAGACAAAUUAUUCUAAAAUGCAACAUUCUAUGUAUCACAUGUAAAAGUACAAACACACACACUCAUAAAUAGCAAGCCAUUUUUUUUUUUUUUUUUGGCUUUUUAAGGCCACACCUCCAGGAUAUGGUUGUUCUCAGGCUACAGGUCAUAGAGCUGCAGCUACUGACCUACGCCAGAGCCACAGCAACACGGCAUCCAAGCUUCGUCUUCAGCCUACACCACAGUUCACAGCAAUGCCGGAUCCUUAACCCACUGAGCAAGGCCAGGGAUGGAACCUGCAUCCUCAUGGUUCCUAGUCAGGUUCAUUUCUGCUGAGCCACAACAGGAACUCUGAGCAAACCAUAUUUUUAAUUGAUUGAAUAAAUAUGUGCAUGCAACGUAGGGAUAAUUACACUAUAUGUGUUAUUUACAACUAUUCACUUUGCAAAGGGCAAAAGUCAUUUUCUUUGCCAAGAAUAUGUAUGUGCAUAUAUUUACAAUACUUAUGUAAAUAUAAAAUAUAUUUUGGAUGGGAUUUUUUUUGGUUUUACUCUUUUGUAAAAGCGGAGAUGACAGAUAGAUAAAUAGAUGAUACUAAAUUUUUAAGUGGUAAUAUUAUAAUCUAUUUUUACUGACAAAAGAUGAUGGAGUCUUUGAAUUACUGUUAAGCAUAGGCAGGACACCUUGCUAUAUCAAUUAAAAUGUGUAAAGAGUGAAAUCUAGUAAACAUUUAAUAUAAUUUAUUGUCUGAGAAAUACUUUUUUAUUACUUGACAUUUGACCAGAAAUGAAGGUCACAAAGAGGUCAAUUUAAUUACUGCUAGAAUAAGCAGCUCAGUAAAUGAUAUUGCAAAGUUCAGAGACUCCCUCCAUAUUUCAUUUAAACAGGAGUGGAAUUUUAUGGGAAUCUUUGUUUCAAAUGAUACAUAUUCAAAACAUGGCUAAUGCAAUUAGGUUUAAUAAAAUAUUUUAAAAUAUGAAGUUCCCAACAUGCUGUCACUGUGAUAUAUUCAAACCAACCAACAAGCAUUUAAUUGGAUUAUACAGUCUAAGUGGACACUAUAAAUAGAUAACCAAUCACAUAAUUCUGCAACCAAAAUGAUUUCCUGUUGUCAGCAGGGUCUAAGGCCAUUGGGAUUUUUUUUUUUUUUUGCCAUAUCCACUUUAUUAUAAAAUCCCAAAUGAAUAUUUUCCAUGAUCUACUUUUCUGUUUACAAUGAUUACGGUGCUAGACUUUCUGAUGAUUUCUUUUUUAACCUUCUCUACUGUUAUAAAGCAUUAUGUCUUUUUAGAUGAGUUUAUGAUGAAAAUUAGUUUGAUGAAUUCAUGUGAUGUACCUUUCUCACAUUUUCAUUGUUUAUGUACACAGAAGUUUCUUCCCAUUCCAUCAAUUCUUCUCAUUUUAUUCUUAUAUUUUAGCCAGUUUGAGUAGUGUUUAUAAACUUUUCUUUUUAUCAGUUGUGACACUCUUGUGAGUAGAAUUUAUUCUUUAUGACUAGUGGUCCACAAUGGACUGAUACUUUUUUGGUUAUGACUUGGGAGCAUUUCUUUGAGUAUUAUUUUAACUCUACCCACUUGUCCCUCUGUGAUGCUCAAGCACCGGGACAGCUCCAUUCUAAGGUUGAAAUUUCCUAUUUUCAAAGCCUCAAGGGUAUACCACAGAGUAUGCCACAAAGAAUAUUGGAAUGUGUACGCUUGGGCUAUCAUAAAUGUGUAGCAAAUUCUCAACUGCUUGCCCGAAUCUGCUCAUUUCACUUUACUGGGACUUUCAAAGAACAAAUGUCAUCUGUGGGAAAUAAAGCGCCAUUGAAGGAUUUAAUACUGUAAAUUGUAAUGGUUAUAUCUUACUGAUCAUUCCAAAUUGAUCUGUUCCAAAAUUUAUUCAGGAUGAAAACAUCCUGAUAGACUCUUUCUAUUGCUGCAUUUCCAGCUUUUUCUUCAUGUGGCUAUUACUUUAGAUACGGCAAUAGAAACUGUAUCAUUAACAGAAGGAUGAGAAUGCUUGUGAGAACCUCAGGGAUAAUGGAGCACUGAGCAGCAGCUGGAGCAUCAAGGCUUAUGACAGAGGCAGCGGGAAGUAGAAGCAGAAGGAAAAAGGAAGGAGCCGGAGAGUGAAGGACAAGUGGUAGGGAUAAUAGCAUUAACGGACAGGUCAGGAGAGGAGGCGAACUUUCACUCUGAAUAAACUGCAUAGUCUGAAUUCAGUGCCGAGGCCACUAUGCUUUUGUGAAACAAUUUUUUCUUUUAAAAGUUCCAAGUCAUAUUUCAUUUCAUCAUUUAUUCUGUCAUUCAUUUAGUAUAGAAUUAAUGUGUAUUUAUUAUCUCACCUGGGUGGGUUGGUUUUAGAUAUGAGAGAUCCAUCAGUAAAAACAACAAAAUGUAUUUUUAAAAAAUAUCUUCCAUUAUGGAAUUUGCAUUCUGAUCUGUAAAAUUGGUACAUGACAGAACAGGUAUCAGAUUUAUCAUAAUUACUAACAUCAUGCAUGCAAAAUAUUUAGUCAAGUUCAAAACAUAAAUGUUAAUUUCUAAAUAAUGGUUAACAUUGUUGUUCUCAGAGAAUGAGUACUAUUAGUAUUAUAUCAGAAAGC
Molecule: long non-coding RNA, 6535 nt
Filed under: Sus scrofa (pig)
Lineage: Eukaryota; Metazoa; Chordata; Mammalia; Artiodactyla; Suidae
Description: lncRNA (ENSSSCG00000055814.1)
Source: RNAcentral